UAAGUGAAGAGUUUGAUCCUGGCUCAGAGUGAACGCUGGCGGUAGGCCUAACACAUGCAAGUCGAACGGCAGCACAGGAGAGCUUGCUCUCUGGGUGGCGAGUGGCGGACGGGUGAGGAAUACAUCGGAAUCUACCCUGUCGUGGGGGAUAACGUAGGGAAACUUACGCUAAUACCGCAUACGACCUUAGGGUGAAAGUAGGGGAUCGCAAGACCUUACGCGAUUGGAUGAGCCGAUGUCGGAUUAGCUUGUUGGCGGGGUAAAAGCCCACCAAGGCGACGAUCCGUAGCUGGUCUGAGAGGAUGAUCAGCCACACUGGAACUGAGACACGGUCCAGACUCCUACGGGAGGCAGCAGUGGGGAAUAUUGGACAAUGGGCGCAAGCCUGAUCCAGCCAUGCCGCGUGUGUGAAGAAGGCCUUCGGGUUGUAAAGCACUUUUGUACGGGAAGAAAAGC
Molecule: ribosomal RNA, 456 nt
Filed under: Pseudomonadota bacterium
Lineage: Bacteria; Pseudomonadati; Pseudomonadota
Description: bacterial SSU rRNA
Rfam family: Bacterial small subunit ribosomal RNA
Source: RNAcentral